UACAGAGGGGGCAAGCGUUGUUCGGAAUUACUGGGCGUAAAGGGCGCGUAGGCGGCCUUCUAAGUCAGACGUGAAAUCCCUCGGCUCAACCGGGGAACUGCGUCUGAUACUGAAAGGCUUGAAUCCGGGAGAGGAAUGCGGAAUUCCCGGUGUAGCGGUGAAAUGCGUAGAGAUCGGGAGGAACACCAGCGGCGAAGGCGGCAAACUGGAUAGGCACUGACACUCAACAACGAAAGCGUGGGGAGCAAACAGG
Molecule: ribosomal RNA, 253 nt
Filed under: uncultured bacterium
Lineage: Bacteria
Description: partial 16S ribosomal RNA
Rfam family: Bacterial small subunit ribosomal RNA
Source: RNAcentral